RNAcentral lists this ribosomal RNA (253 nucleotides) under uncultured bacterium. Its description in RNAcentral is "partial 16S ribosomal RNA". It matches the Rfam family "Bacterial small subunit ribosomal RNA", at positions 524 to 776 of the family's 1533-position model. The record is from RNAcentral.
UACGAAGGGUGCAAGCGUUGUUCGGAAUUAUUGGGCGUAAAGCGCGCGUAGGCGGCUUGGAAAGUCGGAUGUGAAAAUCCGGGGCUCAACCCCGGACCUGCAUCCGAUACUUCCAGGCUAGAGGUAGGUAGGGGAGAUCGGAAUUCCUGGUGUAGCGGUGAAAUGCGCAGAUAUCAGGAGGAACACCGGUGGCGAAGGCGGAUCUCUGGGCCUUACCUGACGCUGAGGCGCGAAAGCUAGGGGAGCGAACAGG